RNAcentral lists this ribosomal RNA (254 nucleotides) under uncultured bacterium. RNAcentral describes it as "partial 16S ribosomal RNA". It matches the Rfam family "Bacterial small subunit ribosomal RNA", at positions 524 to 776 of the family's 1533-position model. The record is from RNAcentral.
UACGGGGGGAGCAAGCGUUGUUCGGAUUUACUGGGCGUAAAGGGCGCGUAGGCGGUCAGCACAAGUCAGUUGUGAAAUCUCCGGGCUUAACUCGGAAAGGUCAACUGAUACUGUGCGACUAGAGUGCGGAAGGGGCAACUGGAAUUCUCGGUGUAGCGGUGAAAUGCGUAGAUAUCGAGAGGAACACCUGCGGCGAAGGCGGGUUGCUGGGCCGACACUGACGCUGAGGCUCGAAAGCGUGGGGAGCAAACGGG